This 630-nucleotide ribosomal RNA is filed under the name uncultured eukaryote. RNAcentral's name for it is "SSU rRNA". It matches the Rfam family "Eukaryotic small subunit ribosomal RNA", at positions 1078 to 1732 of the family's 1831-position model. The record is from RNAcentral.
GGCGGGCAGCUUCCCGGAAACGAAAGUUUUUCGGUUCCGGGGGAAGUAUGGUUGCAAAGCUGAAACUUAAAGGAAUUGACGGAAGGGCACCACCAGGAGUGGAGCCUGCGGCUUAAUUUGACUCAACACGGGAAAGCUCACCUGGCCCGGACACCGUGAGGAUUGACAGAUUGAGAGCUCUUUCUUGAUUCGGUGGUUGGUGGUGCAUGGCCGUUCUUAGUUGGUGGAGUGAUUUGUCUGGUUUAUUCCGGUAACGAGCGAGACUCUAGCCUACUAAAUAGUUACUGGAUAAUUGCGUCCAGAAGACUUCUUAGAGGGACAAGCGGUGUUCAGCCGCACGAAGCUGAGCAAUAACAGGUCUGUGAUGCCCUUAGAUGUCCAGGGCUGCACGCGCGCUACACUGGAGGAAUCAGCGUGCUGUAACCAUUGCCGAAAGGCAUUGGUAACCCCUUGAAAAUCCUCCGUGAUCGGGAUCGGGAAUUGCAAUUAUUUCCCUUGAACGAGGAAUUCCUAGUAAGUGUGAGUCAUCAGCUCACGUUGAUUACGUCCCUGCCCUUUGUACACACCGCCCGUCGCUGCCCGGGACUGAGCCGUUUCGAGAAAUGCGGGGACUGCUGUUUCGAUACCUUU